Molecule: long non-coding RNA, 2024 nt
Organism: Phragmites australis (common reed)
Lineage: Eukaryota; Viridiplantae; Streptophyta; Magnoliopsida; Poales; Poaceae
Exons: 3
Source: RefSeq, a predicted model, not a curated record
UCACUUGGCCCAAUCCACCGCCUCCUCCAAUGCCGCGUCCGCUCUAGGUGUCGGCUGCGAGCCUGCGAUGGUGUGCGGAGCAGAAACCGCAUCCCCAGUCCCCACCUCCUGGCUCCUACGGCCACAACUUCCUCCACUCGCACAACCGGGCCCCAAUCCUCUUUGCACGCCAUGGCAGACGUACGCGACCUCGAUUCUCAAUCCCAUCGCCACCACCGAGCAGACCUUUCUCAGUGUUGGCGCCACCUCCACAGCCUUGAUCCCUGCCCCAGCCCCAAUCCUCGACAACGUCAAGGUUGAGUAGCUCGAACGAACUUCUUGAUCCCGCGACCGAGCCCGGCCCCUCACUCCCACCUCACCCUCCACGCCUCGUCAUCGUCUCCUCUCCUACCGCGCACUCGUGCCUCCCUCGGCAUGGCAUCGAUGCCUAGAGCGUACGAAGCAACAGCGCCCGACACUCUCGGCCUCGACCUCCUGCUGCAGCGUGAGAGAAGAUCGAGGAAACGAGGACCUGGGUUGGUUGCAGAGGCUGCUACGCUGUCGUCGGCCGCCACCGCUAGAGAGAGGCCACAUGAGGUGAUGUCGUCAAGGGCGAGCAGCAGCACGGCUGACGUCAAGGCCAAUACCUGCACAAGCUUGUUGAUGAGCUCCAUGAACUUGGCCACCUCUUCCUUGUCGAUGAGCUCCUAAUCUCCUUCUAUCAGUCCAUCAUCUAAUUUUUGUUUGCUUCCUGAUUUAUUAGCGAUGCAAGAGUUGAGAAGGUAAGAUUUUCUAGCUUAUUUUUGUCUGCACUGAGAUAAAACUUUCAUUUAAUCCGAUUUCUGUUCAGUAAGAGAGGUGGCUGAUAACCAUGCUUGAUAAUUGACACAUCUGAGAACAUUCUAAUAACAAUAUACAAAAUGUACAACUACCAUAGCUUUUAUGCUUUCUGAUACUUACACACCUACGUUAAUUUGCUAUCAAUCGGAAGUAGUUGGAUUAAGAGCUGAGGUGAUACACUGGUUCUUUUGUUAGUGAGGAAAAUUUCAGGGUGCAUCUCAAGCGUUACAAUGUUUCAUGCUAUGAAAAUUUUCCGGUCUCCAUGUUCUUUGCUAUUUGCUCUGCUAAAUAAAGAAUUACAACUUGAAUGCAGUAGUCUGUUGCCACAACAUACCAGGCAUGCACAAUUCAUUGGAUCUCUGUUCAGUAUUGUAUCACUUGAGAUAUAAUGAGUUGUGCUCAUUUAAAAAUGUGAUAAUCUAUUGCUUUAGAUGUGGGAACAUAAAUGAUAACAUUGUACUCUUGUGAUUUUAAUUUCAGCACAAUCUUCUUUUAAAAUGUCUAUUAUAUGGAUGUUUACAUCCAGUGGCGGCCGUCUCUCUCUCCCUCCUCGCAGGCGAUGCCAUGUGCACGGCUGUGGCGGUAGCCCUGCUGCCCCCAAGAUGUGCUGGGAUGGGGGCGCGACUGUGGAGGAGGAGGUGAGGGCCGAGGUAGUGACGAACGAGCAGCUCGUCGAGGAGGCGUGAUAGAUGGUCAACAAGAGCUUCUUCCCCCAUGCCGGCAGCGGCCCAGGGUCGCCGAAGAUGUGGAUGAUUCAUAAGUUAAUUUGACCCAACGCAGCAAAAGAAGCAGGAUAUUCUCCAAGGCACAAUCAAACCCUGCUCUAAAGCCCAUGAUAUUAUUCGGAAAAUGCUAGUAGGCCUUGGUGAUCCAUACACAAGGUUCCUUUCUCCCUCAGAAGUGAAAUCGGAUCUUUGUUGUGAAGUACGCCAGACACCUAUGAAACAUGGUAGUCAAGAGAAGAACACAACAGAGCAGGGUUCAGAAAAAGGCUCCGCGACACUUCUUGCCCAGAACAUGCAUUCAGACUUUGGCAAAAAGAUUGCCGGACUACAUAUUCCAAUACAAAUGUACGCCUGUUCAUAUAUGCUCACCGUAUCACUCGUGUAACUGCUCCAUGACCUUCCACCCGGCCACUCCACCAAGAUGCCAGCUGAACGAACAAAUCCCACAGCACGAGAACUCUUGGCACGCUCAGAUCAAAA